RNAcentral lists this long non-coding RNA (264 nucleotides) under Elaeis guineensis (African oil palm). RNAcentral describes it as "long non-coding RNA (EGUI_LNC059640)". The record is from RNAcentral. Lineage: Eukaryota; Viridiplantae; Streptophyta; Magnoliopsida; Arecales; Arecaceae.
AGCGGUCUACUCCAAACUUCUACUACGAGCGGUUUACUCCAAAUCUCUACUACAAGCGAAUUCCAUCCGAGCUUCUACUGUAAACAAAUUUCUUCUGAACUUCUAUUACAAGCAGACUUCAACCGAGCUCCUACAGUGGACGGAUCCCAAACGAGCUUCUACAAUGGGAUAGGCUCCACCGACCAGGUCACUACUCUGAGCUCUUAUGACAAUCAAUCUUCGACCGAGCCUCUACAAUAAGCGGCCUCCUUUCGGCCUUCUGCA